CGACGAUCGCCAUUAAUCCUGGAUUACGUAGCUCUUGCUCUUGCCUCCGUAGUCGAAGGGGAACCUCGGACUCCAAGCUCCCUCUGUUUUCAGUUUUCCUUUAUGAGGGGACUCGAACGAUCAUAAAAGUAAAAUUAAGAACGAAGGCUUACCUGAUUGUUACCACUACAUCGGCCGAAUGAGCCUUUUUGGGCGGUGCCGUGUACCCAGGUUCGAAUUUCUGUAAAAUUCAAAAUUUUCAUUCCGUAAUAGAAAAUUUGCGUGAACCCGGAUGGAAAAAGAGCUCAAAAGACUAAAUUUUUAUAAUGGAAAAUAAAUUUCAAAAUCAGAUGUCCAUGUUUGCGAAACUAUGAUCCUGGGAAAAAAAACAUACGCGACAUGAAGAUUAACACUAAAAUUGCUGACCAAUGAAUUGAUCUUGAUGUGAAAACAACAGAAAAAACAAGAAUCGAAUGAAACACCCCCGCUUUUUUUUUUUUUUUUGCUCUGUUUAUCUGACCAAUGAAUUGAUCUUGAUGCUAACCUGGAGACAAAUUUCACAAGUGGUGUCACCCUUCUCGUUGCACCAUCUCUGUAUGCACUCUCUGUGUGCAAACUGAAAAGAACCAACCGAACUAACGAUCAUGAAUUCGAACUUAGAGAAAGUAAUAAAGGAAGAAAGAAGAAAACAGAGGAGGGAAAAGGCACCCCAAUAAGAAGUUAGGAACACAUCCUCCACCUUUACAGUUCCAGAACAAGCACAAGGAGCUUCCAAUCGCUGAGUCCUCACUUCUUCUUCAUGGCAGAUUCUACACUGUGGAAUUGAAGAAAACUUGGUCGAACCCUCCACAGACAAUAUCACCUCAUCUUCCAUUUCGGUCUCUGUAUCUCUGUCUCUCUCUCUCGCUUUGUGGAUUCUGAAGUCGGGAUUCUGGAGAGUGGAUCUCAAGUUAAAUAACACUUAGAAAGCAAAACCUUUUAUAUUAUCAAUAAAUAGAACCGAAAAACAUCAGAACUACGGGAGAAGUGGGAGACCGGUUCUUAAAAGACAAGACCCCAACCCCUACUAUUACGAGGGGAAAGUCAAGAAGCCUCUCUCUAAUAAUCGUUGGGUCCUGUAAUUUACCGAAGGGUAUUUUCGUCCAAGUAAAUAAAGUUGUAGUUCACGAGACAUGUAAUUUUCUGUUCUUAAUGGACUGGUUAGUUAACAUUAACCAUAGUUUUAAAAUAUAAUAUAUUAUUAACUUUGUUGGAAACAGAACAGGUCUAAGUUGUUCUAGACUCUAGAGGACCUCUCUUGUUUUAUUUGCAAGCUUCUUGUAUUUGAACUUUGAAAUUUGAACUGGGUUAUGAUAUUUAGAUGAUCUUAAGCUGCUUCUCUUUCUUUAUAAUUUAAUAUUGUGGAGUUUGCUUUGCUUUUCUUUUUAUUCA
This is a long non-coding RNA of Macadamia integrifolia, 1410 nucleotides long. RefSeq lists it as uncharacterized. The record is from RefSeq and is a predicted model, not a curated record. NCBI's taxonomy places the organism in Eukaryota, Viridiplantae, Streptophyta, Magnoliopsida, Proteales, Proteaceae. The transcript is spliced from 2 exons.